UGGGGAAUUUUGGACAAUGGGGGCAACCCUGAUCCAGCCAUGCCGCGUGAGUGAAGAAGGCCUUCGGGUUGUAAAGCUCUUUCGGGCGGGAAGAAAAGGUCAAGGCUAAUACCUUUGACUGCUGACGGUACCGCAAGAAGAAGCUCCGGCUAACUACGUGCCAGCAGCCGCGGUAAUACGUAGGGAGCAAGCGUUGUUCGGAUUUACUGGGCGUAAAGGGCGCGUAGGCGGCGCGGUAAGUCACUUGUGAAAUCUCUGAGCUUAACUCAGAACGGCCAAGUGAUACUGCAGUGCUAGAGUGCAGAAAGGGCAAUCGGAAUUCUUGGUGUAGCGGUGAAAUGCGUAGAUAUCAAGAGGAACACCUGAGGCGAAGGCGGGUUGCUAGGCUGACACUGACGCUGAGGGCGCGAAAGCCAGGGGAGCAAACGG
RNAcentral lists this ribosomal RNA (429 nucleotides) under uncultured bacterium. RNAcentral describes it as "bacterial SSU rRNA". It matches the Rfam family "Bacterial small subunit ribosomal RNA", at positions 355 to 775 of the family's 1533-position model. The record is from RNAcentral.